RNAcentral lists this ribosomal RNA (451 nucleotides) under uncultured Lactobacillus sp. RNAcentral's name for it is "bacterial SSU rRNA". It matches the Rfam family "Bacterial small subunit ribosomal RNA", at positions 65 to 508 of the family's 1533-position model. Lineage: Bacteria; Bacillati; Bacillota; Bacilli; Lactobacillales; Lactobacillaceae. The record is from RNAcentral.
CACUGAUUGACUUAAGAGCGGUGAGUGGCGGAUGGGUGAGUAACACGUGGGUAACCUGCCCUCUAGCGGGGGAUAACAUCUGGAAACAGGUGCUAAUACCGCAUAAAUCGUUGAACCGCAUGGUUCAACGCUGAAAGGCGGCUUCGGCUGUCACUAGAGGAUGGACCCGCGGUGCAUUAGUUAGUUGGUGAGGUAAUGGCCCACCAAGACCGUGAUGCAUAGCCGAACUGAGAGGUUGAUCGGCCACAUUGGGACUGAGACACGGCCCAAACUCCUACGGGAGGCAGCAGUAGGGAAUCUUCCACAAUGGACGAAAGUCUGAUGGAGCAACGCCGCGUGAGUGAAGAAGGUUUUCGGAUCGUAAAGCUCUGUUGUUGGAGAAGAACACUAGUGAGAGUAACUGUUCAUUAGUUGACGGUAUCCAACCAGAAAGCCACGGCUAACUACGUGC